This 253-nucleotide ribosomal RNA is filed under the name uncultured bacterium. RNAcentral's name for it is "partial 16S ribosomal RNA". It matches the Rfam family "Bacterial small subunit ribosomal RNA", at positions 524 to 776 of the family's 1533-position model. The record is from RNAcentral.
UACGUAGGGGGCAAGCGUUGUCCGGAAUUACUGGGCGUAAAGCGCACGCAGGUGGCUGAGUCAGUCGAUUGUGAAAGCCCUGGGCUUAACCUGGGAAUUGCAGUCGAUACUACUUAGCUAGAGUAUGGGAGAGGGCAGUGGAAUUCCCGGUGUAGCGGUGAAAUGCGUAGAGAUCGGGAAGAACAUCGGUGGCGAAGGCGGCCUGCUGGGCUGUUGCUGACGCUGAGGCGCGACAGCGUGGGGAGCAAACAGG